UGGGGGAUAUUGCACAAUGGGGGAAACCCUGAUGCAGCGACGCCGCGUGAGGGAAGAAGGUUUUCGGAUUGUAAACCUCUGUCCUAAGGGACGAAGGAAGACGGUACCUUAGGAGGAAGCCACGGCUAACUACGUGCCAGCAGCCGCGGUAAUACGUAGGUGGCAAGCGUUGUCCGGAAUUACUGGGUGUAAAGGGAGCGUAGGCGGCAGAGCAAGUUGAAUGUGAAAGCCCGGGGCUUAACCCCGUGAUGCGUUCAAAACUGUCCUGCUUGAGUGAAGUAGAGGCAAUCGGAAUUCCUAGUGUAGCGGUGAAAUGCGUAAAUAUUAGGAGGAACACCAGUGGCGAAGGCGGAUUGCUGGGCUUUAACUGACGCUGAGGCUCGAAAGCGUGGGUAGCAAACAGG
Molecule: ribosomal RNA, 404 nt
Filed under: uncultured bacterium
Lineage: Bacteria
Also listed under: 1 other name
Description: bacterial SSU rRNA
Rfam family: Bacterial small subunit ribosomal RNA
Source: RNAcentral